AUUGAACGCUGGCGGCAGGCCUAACACAUGCAAGUCGAACGGUAACAGGAAGCAGCUUGCUGCUUCGCUGACGAGUGGCGGACGGGUGAGUAAUGUCUGGGAAGCUGCCUGAUGGAGGGGGAUAACUACUGGAAACGGUAGCUAAUACCGCAUAAUGUCGCAAGACCAAAGAGGGGGACCUUCGGGCCUCUUGCCAUCGGAUGUGCCCAGAUGGGAUUAGCUUGUUGGUGGGGUAACGGCUCACCAAGGCGACGAUCCCUAGCUGGUCUGAGAGGAUGACUAGCCACACUGGAACUGAGACACGGUCCAGACUCCUACGGGAGGCAGCAGUGGGGAAUAUUGCACAAAGGGCGCAAGCCUGAUGCAGCCAUGCCGCGUGUAUGAAGAAGGCCUUCGGGUUGUAAAGUACUUUCAGCGGGGAGGAAGGGAGUAAAGUUAAUACCUUUGCUCAUUGACGUUACCCGCAGAAGAAGCACCGGCUAACUCCGUG
This 490-nucleotide ribosomal RNA is filed under the name uncultured bacterium. RNAcentral's name for it is "partial 16S ribosomal RNA". It matches the Rfam family "Bacterial small subunit ribosomal RNA", at positions 30 to 507 of the family's 1533-position model. The record is from RNAcentral.